GACGAACGCUGGCGGCGUGCUUAACACAUGCAAGUCGAACGGAAAGGCCCUGCUUUUGUGGGGUGCUCGAGUGGCGAACGGGUGAGUAACACGUGAGUAACCUGCCCUUGACUUUGGGAUAACUUCAGGAAACUGGGGCUAAUACCGGAUAGGAGCUCCUGCUGCAUGGUGGGGGUUGGAAAGUUUCGGCGGUUGGGGAUGGACUCGCGGCUUAUCAGCUUGUUGGUGGGGUAGUGGCUUACCAAGGCUUUGACGGGUAGCCGGCCUGAGAGGGUGACCGGCAUGAGUGGGAGGGAGAGAAGGGUGAGAAGGCGCAGGAAGGGAGAAGGGGGGGAGAGGGGAGUACGGGGGGAGGCUGGAGGCAGCAGCGAAGGGAGAGGGAGGAAGGGGUGUGGGUGGGAAAUAGCGGUAGAGGGAAGAGUAGGGGGAAUGACGGGAAGGGGGAAGGAAGGAGCGGCGAAGUACGUG
This 468-nucleotide ribosomal RNA is filed under the name uncultured bacterium. Its description in RNAcentral is "partial 16S ribosomal RNA". The stretch from base 20 to 332 matches the Rfam family "Bacterial small subunit ribosomal RNA", at positions 47 to 358 of the family's 1533-position model. The record is from RNAcentral.